Long non-coding RNA from Populus nigra (black poplar), 528 nucleotides. RefSeq lists it as uncharacterized. NCBI's taxonomy places the organism in Eukaryota, Viridiplantae, Streptophyta, Magnoliopsida, Malpighiales, Salicaceae. The transcript is spliced from 2 exons. The record is from RefSeq and is a predicted model, not a curated record.
CCUCCCAGCUUUUGACGUUGCUCAGCUGAACGCAAACUCUCAAGUGAUGACCGGAUCAUGCGUCUCAAAGAAGGGUAUGGCUUAAGAGAGGUAUAUCAAAGAAGGGAGCACUGUUAGCGUGAUGGGUGUUGUUCGACGACAUGAUAUAUAAUUUGCUGAUGAUCGUUCCGCCACAAGAGCCGUCUCAACAGGUUGUCAGUGGUUCCCAUGCCUCCUUCCAGUCCGUGUUGAAGGCCUUGUUUUGACAUGUGAUGAUAAUCAAAGUGCUGAUGCCGUUCUUGUGUAGAUAUUUAGCUGUUCAUCUUGAUGUAAGUUUCUUUUGAACUGGAUUUCACAGGUAAAUAUUUGAAGGGUGCCAACCAUGGCAAUCAUCAAGCACCCCCAGACCACUCUGUACCUUCUUUUUCAGGUUUUAAGGAGCAUGUAAAUGGCACAGAAGUUGCAGAGAUGAAAGAAUGAAGGCGCCAUGUAGCAACGAAACAUGUUAUAAGUAUACAGUAAGUGAUAUGGAAGAAAUAGUAUAAAAUC